CAUUCCUGAUCACCCUCCCUCCCAGGAUGGAUCUUGCCAGAAGCAGUUGGCUUGAAUGUUGCUUUCUGGCCUGCCCCCAGCCCCCAUCUUUUACCUAUAAAAACCCCAGGCUCUGUUGGCAGAGGGGUGGCACAGUGGCAGAGUGGAGCAGCAGAGAAGGAGAAAAGAGAAGCAGCAGCCAGGUGUCGGAGAGAAGCAGUUUGACUUCAGAGGGAUGGCUUGACAGCGAGACUUCAGAGAAGAGUUCCGCCAGGGACAGCUGAACUCUGGGAGAAGACUGCCUUUCCACUCCAUCCCUGUUCCAGCUCCCCAUCCUGCUGAGAGCCACUUCCACUGCUCAGUAAAAUCCUCCAUAUUCACCACCCUUCAAUUCAUUUGUGUGAUCUGAAUCUUCCUGGAUGCUGGACAAGAACUCAGGUACCAAGAGGGCAGGUGCAAAAGGCUGUCACCCUCACCAUCCACUGAGCUGGUAAACAUUUAAGCCAUCCCUGGGUGGCAAAGCUAAAAGGGCACACUGUAACAUAUGUCCUCUGAGGCUCUUGAGGUCACAGGUACCCCUGCUAGAUGCUGCUAUGGAGCUGCACAGAGUUCUACUUCUGGUGCCCAGAAGCAUUCAUCCCA
This 621-nucleotide long non-coding RNA is filed under the name Homo sapiens (human). RNAcentral's name for it is "HSALNT0405671". The record is from RNAcentral. Lineage: Eukaryota; Metazoa; Chordata; Mammalia; Primates; Hominidae.